Molecule: transfer RNA, 71 nt
Filed under: Narcine timlei (blackspotted numbfish)
Lineage: Eukaryota; Metazoa; Chordata; Chondrichthyes; Torpediniformes; Narcinidae
Description: tRNA-Gln
Rfam family: tRNA
About the family: Transfer RNA (tRNA) molecules are approximately 80 nucleotides in length. Their secondary structure includes four short double-helical elements and three loops (D, anti-codon, and T loops). Further hydrogen bonds mediate the characteristic L-shaped molecular structure. tRNAs have two regions of fundamental functional importance: the anti-codon, which is responsible for specific mRNA codon recognition, and the 3' end, to which the tRNAs corresponding amino acid is attached (by aminoacyl-tRNA synthetases). tRNAs cope with the degeneracy of the genetic code in two manners: having more than one tRNA (with a specific anti-codon) for a particular amino acid; and 'wobble' base-pairing, i.e. permitting non-standard base-pairing at the 3rd anti-codon position.
Source: RNAcentral
UAGAAAGUAGUAUAAUGGGUGUACUUAAAGUUUUGAUCUUUAGUGUAUAGGUUCAAAUCCUAUUUUUCUAG